Molecule: ribosomal RNA, 484 nt
Filed under: uncultured bacterium
Lineage: Bacteria
Description: partial 16S ribosomal RNA
Rfam family: Bacterial small subunit ribosomal RNA
Source: RNAcentral
AUUGAACGCUGGUGGCAGGCCUAACACAUGCAAGUCGAGCGGAUGAAGGGAGCUUGCUCCUGGAUUCAGCGGCGGACGGGUGAGUAAUGCCUAGGAAUCUGCCUGGUAGUGGGGGAUAAUGUCCGGAAACGGGCGCUAAUACCGCAUACGUCCUGAGGGAGAAAGUGGGGGAUCUUCGGACCUCACGCUAUCAGAUGAGCCUAGGUCGGAUUAGCUAGUUGGUGGGGUAAAGGCCUACCAAGGCGACGAUCCGUAACUGGUCUGAGAGGAUGAUCAGUCACACUGGAACUGAGACACGGUCCAGACUCCUACGGGAGGCAGCAGUGGGGAAUAUUGGACAAUGGGCGAAAGCCUGAUCCAGCCAUGCCGCGUGUGUGAAGAAGGUCUUCGGAUUGUAAAGCACUUUAAGUUGGGAGGAAGGGCAGUAAGUUAAUACCUUGCUGUUUUGACGUUACCAACAGAAUAAGCACCGGCUAACUUCGUG